AACAAGGCGUACCUGCGGACCUGCGGAGGGAUCAUUACCGAGUUUACAACUCCCAAACCCCUGUGAACAUACCUAUACGUUGCCUCGGCGGAUCAGCCCGCGCCCUGUAAAAAGGGACGGCCCGCCCGAGGACCCUAAACUCUGUUUUUAGUGGAACUUCUGAGUAAAACAAACAAAUAAAUCAAAACUUUCAACAACGGAUCU
This 204-nucleotide unclassified non-coding RNA is filed under the name soil metagenome. RNAcentral's name for it is "partial contains 5.8S ribosomal RNA, internal transcribed spacer 2, and large subunit ribosomal RNA". The record is from RNAcentral.